GGAGCGGUGGCAGAGUCUGGUCGAUUGCAGCUGCCUUGAAAGCAGCCGGCCCGUUCACGCGGGCCCGGGGGUUCGAAUCCCUCCCGCUCCGCCA
Molecule: transfer RNA, 94 nt
Filed under: Actinomycetota bacterium
Lineage: Bacteria; Bacillati; Actinomycetota
Description: Actinobacteria bacterium (freshwater metagenome) tRNA-Ser
Rfam family: tRNA
About the family: Transfer RNA (tRNA) molecules are approximately 80 nucleotides in length. Their secondary structure includes four short double-helical elements and three loops (D, anti-codon, and T loops).
Source: RNAcentral